RNAcentral lists this ribosomal RNA (497 nucleotides) under uncultured bacterium. Its description in RNAcentral is "partial 16S ribosomal RNA". It matches the Rfam family "Bacterial small subunit ribosomal RNA", at positions 28 to 507 of the family's 1533-position model. The record is from RNAcentral.
GAUGAACGCUGGCGGCGUGCCUAAUACAUGCAAGUCGAGCGAACGGGCGAGAAGCUUGCUUUUCUGAUGUUAGCGGCGGACGGGUGAGUAACACGUGGAUAACCUACCUAUAAGACUGGGAUAACUUCGGGAAACCGGAGCUAAUACCGGAUAAUAUUUUGAACCGCAUGGUUCAAAAGUGAAAGACGGUCUUGCUGUCACUUAUUGAUGGAUCCGCGCUGCAUUAGCUAGUUGGUAAGGUAACGGCUUACCAAGGCAACGAUGCAUAGCCGACCUGAGAGGGUGAUCGGCCACACUGGAACUGAGACACGGUCCAGACUCCUACGGGAGGCAGCAGUAGGGAAUCUUACGCAAUGGGCGAAAGCCUGACGGAGCAAAGCCGCGUGAGUGAUGAAGGUCUUCGGAUCGUAAAACUCUGUUAUUAGGGAAGAACAUAUGUGUAAGUAACUGUGCACAUCUUGACGGUACCUAAUCAGAAAGCCACGGCUAACUACGUG